RNAcentral lists this ribosomal RNA (312 nucleotides) under Triticum aestivum (bread wheat). Its description in RNAcentral is "partial small subunit ribosomal RNA". The record is from RNAcentral. Lineage: Eukaryota; Viridiplantae; Streptophyta; Magnoliopsida; Poales; Poaceae.
AUGAACCCGGUUUUGCCCGCGUGGAUGCCAACUCAUCAGCGCCAAGUCACCACUCUCUCCAUGUCAGCAAGCACAGUCAGCAGUCAGCCAGGGCUUAACCCUCCUCCCCUCCCGACCCAACUCGCUCGCCCCCGCCCCGCUCGCGACCUAGCCAGGCGCCACCGCCGCCGCCGCCGCCGCCGUCGCCGACGAUCCCCUGGACCAGCGCCCCGCCGCAGAUCCCAGCGUGCCCGCUCUCCCGCAUCCGGCCGCCGGCCGGCGACUCCCCCCCUCCGCCCGGGUCUUUCCCCCGCGAGAUCCGAGCGGGGCUAG